This 3289-nucleotide long non-coding RNA is filed under the name Theobroma cacao (cacao). RNAcentral's name for it is "long non-coding RNA (TCAC_LNC000407)". The record is from RNAcentral. Lineage: Eukaryota; Viridiplantae; Streptophyta; Magnoliopsida; Malvales; Malvaceae.
CAGCCAAAGCAAGAACAAAGGAAGAAAAGAAAGAACAAAAACCCUAGGUGGAAAAAUUCAAGGGAAAAGUGUGAAAAUUCAAGGAAACAAGUGAAAAAAAGUAAGAUUUUUCAAUUAAGCUUGAGAUCUCUCUUUCUUAAGCAUUUUUUUCUUAUUUUCCAUGGUUGAAUCACAUGAUUUCAUGAUGAAUCCCAUGCUGGCUGAACACUUAGAGGGAGGUUUUGAUGCUUGGUUUGGUUAGAUUUCAAUGUAUUUUAGUGUUUUUAGUUAGUUAGUGAUGUGUAGUAUGAAAAGCCAACAAGAAAAAUUCACUUCCUCCCAUCACCCAUCAUUGGCCGAAUUCUCCAUGUAGAAUAUUAAUGAUCAUUUUGAUUUUAUUUCAAGUGAUUUGGUUAGGAAUUAGUGAUUUAUGGUGUGAGAAUCAAGCUUGAAAAAUUAUAGUGUUGAUGCACUCACCAUGGCUGAAUUUUCUAAGAGAAAAUGUGAAGAUGAUUUUGCCAUAUUUCAAGUUAUUUAAUUUGUGUUUGAUGAUUUGGAGUAUUGUGAGAAAAAUGAAAUUAUUUGGAGUUGAAUUGGACGUAUUGGCCAAUUAAUCGAGUGAUAGAUCGAAUUAGGCCAAUACCGUUUUAUUUAGGUACAUAAUUGAAUUUAUAUUGAACAUCGAAUUUAGAGAGUUACCUGAGUAUUUCACAUCCCAUUUCAUGCAUUACUAUAGAACUUGAAUUGGUUUUAUAACAAUUUAGCACAAAUGUAGUAAAUGACUUAUUGUGCAUUAUGUCUAGGUGGUGAGCAUUCUGGCAAAAAUAAAGAGAUAGUACUCGAGGAUCAAGAAUCGGAGUACUCGAAAUUCGACUCCCGAAAUAGUGAGUAACCUUACUAUCAUCUUAAUUAUCUAAAGUGGUUUUUAUCUGAUUUUGUGAUUUUAUAGAAAAUGAGUUUAAAUGGUAAAUCUUUAUGUUUUAUAAGCAAAAUGUGUUUAAAUGAAAUGAUUUUAUAAAUUGUCUUGAAAUUGAAUGAUGGCUUUGAAAAUAGAGUAAUUGGAGACCACUUGAUGUAUUAUGAAUUUAUGGUUCUAAUUGAAUGGCUUAUGAUAAUAUUGGCAUGAAUGGUUGGAUUUGGUAAAUAUGCUAAAAAAGUAUGAACUGUUGAUUUGCCUUGAGAGGCUGUAAAAUAAAAUAAUUGCCAUGUCAUGCUGUUGAAUUUUAUUAAAUUGGUGGGUUAUAAUUGGUCGCUGCAGUGGACGAGUUCCGUGGACCAGCCUAUUAGAGGGGCACGGUGUAAAACCCGACCCUAUAAACACAUGUCAUGGCAUACAUGCACUGAGUAGCAUGUUAUUACGCUAGGAAAGCUCCUAAGAAUAUAUGAAACCCGGUAUUGUACCUAACGGUACACUUGAGCUAAUUUAACCUUGAACUAGUUCAAAUAAGAAUUAUAUGAUGAAAUUUAAUAUUUUAUAGUCUAGGAAUGACUAAAAAUGAUUGUUUGGAGUUCGAGGGUUCAUUUGGGGAAAAAUUGAAAAUUUUGAUGUUCAGGGGCAAAAUCGGCUUUUUGCCACCUAAGAUAAUAAUUUGAUCAUGGAGUGAAAUUUUUGACCAAGAUUAACUAUUUGGAGUAUAAUUUAAUGAUAGGAAGUGAAAAUUUUCAAUUCCGAUAAUUUUCGAAACAUAAGGGCAAAACAAUAAUUUCGUUGCCCUAAGGUAAAAUCGUAAUUUUCACCACCCAAAACUUAUCAAAAUUAUAGGAUUUAUUUAUUUUUGGUAUGAAUAACUAUGGUAUUUUAAGUGGUGAAAAAUUGAAGUUUAAAGGACGAAAGUUUAAAAACGGGCCAAUGGAAUAGUGACACAUGGCACUUUUUAAUAAUUUAAUAUUAUUUUAAAGGAAAAUCAGCCCAUUUAAACCCCACAUCAAGUGAUGGUCGGCCAUAAGGAGAAAAUAAGAGAGAAAAUAGAGAGGAAAGUAAGAAAAGAGAAAAACCAAAGGAAAACUAGAAAAUUCAAAGGGGAAUUAGCAUUUUUCGUCCGUUUACGCAUCUAACAGUAAGAUUUUUCGACUUUAGGUUGAUUUCUAACUUUCCUAUGCAUUUGUUUCCAUUUAGCAUGCUUGAGGAGAGAGAUCAAAAAGUGAUACCAAGGGCUGGCCGAAUUUCAAGGGGGUGGAUUUUGAAAUUUUUAUGUUUUGAUUCUUAGUUAAAUUGGUAGUUUUAGUUAGUUAAAUGUGUAUAGAAAUCAAAUUUGGCAAGAAAGCAUGAAGUUCUCACAAUACCCACCCUUGCCUGAAUAUUCAAUGAUGUACAAUGAUGAUGAACUGAUUUUUAUUCUAAGAGAAAUGAAGAGAAAAUGAUGAAAAAUGGUUAAAUGUGAUAGAAAAACAAAGUGGAAAAUUAACCGAGUAAAUGUCCCAUUUUUUAUCGAAUUUUUCAAGGAGGAAAGUGAGCUGAUUUUGGUAAUUUUAGAGGGUUAUUGGCUGAUAUUUAAUGGUUAAAAAUGUUGGAGAGAAAAUGGGACAAUUUAAAGUUAAAAUGGAGCGCGUCAGCAAUUUAUCAGGUCAAGUGCUAAAAAUAGGUUAAUAUCGCGUUUAAGCCAUUUUAGGCUAUUGCAUUUCAUACCAUGCAUUAGUAUAGGAUUUAAGUCAAUUAUAUAGUGAUUUAGCAUUAAUGUGGUGAAUUAUGUAAUUUUUGUAAUGUGUCUAGGAGGAGAGCCUUCCGGUAAAGACAAGGAAGUCGUACUCGAUGAACAGUGAUCGGGGAACCUAAAAAGCAUUUAAUUUGUACAAACGGUGAGUAAACCUAUUAUCAUUGUAAAUUAUCUAGUGUUUAUUUUUAAAUGCUCUUCAUGUAUUUUAUGAAACGAAAAUGAGAUUAAAAUGGGACUUUUGAUGUUUUAGAAAUAAAUGUGACAAAUAAAUAUAUUGUGUUGAUUAUCUGAAAUAAGAAACUUUUGAUCAUGAAAUCGAGUAAUUGGAGGCUGCUAAUUGUCUUGAAAAAUAUAUUUUCCUAUGAAUGGCUUUUGAUAUAUGAGUAUAUGUGGCUAUAUUUUAUAAUUGCAUUGGGAAUUUAUGUAAGCUGUCUUUUACUAUGCAGGUGGAUAAAUAAAUAAAAGCCAUGUUAUACUAUCAAAAUUUUAUUAAAAUUAAUGGGUUUAGUCACUGCAGUGACAAGAUUCCGUGGAUUGGUUAUUAGAGGGGUACGGUAAACUCGGUUGCAUAGUUACUCUGGUUGUAGAGGCGAGGAGGGUAACUCUUAGGGUAGUGUUAGAGCUCACUUCAAGUUGAACCCCCACAUGAAUGUGUA